GGUGGACAUCCUAUAUGAAUGAGUGUCCCCAACGGUGGAAAAGGUCAGGGACACGUGUCCAAACUGCCCUUCGGACCGCAAUACCCUCGGGAAACUGAGGUUAAUAGCGGACACCACACGCAGACUGGAAUGUCGCGUGUGUCAAACGCUCCGGCGCCGAAGGAUGUGGCUGCGGCCGAUUAGGUAGACGGUGGGGUAACGGCCCACCGUGCCAAUAAUCGGUACGGGUCAUGAGAGUGAGAACCCGGAGACGGAAUCUGAGACAAGAUUCCGGGCCCUACGGGGCGCAGCAGGCGCGAAACCUUUACACUGCACGCCAGUGCGAUAAGGGGAUCCCAAGUGCGUAGGCAUAGAGCCUACGCUUUUGUCCACCCUAGGGUGGUGGACGAAUAAGGGCUGGGCAAGACCGGUGCCAGCCGCCGCGGUAAUACCGGCAGCCCGAGUGAUGGCCGAUCUUAUUGGGCCUAAAGCGUCCGUAGCUGGCCGCACAAGUCCAUCGGG
RNAcentral lists this ribosomal RNA (501 nucleotides) under haloarchaeon SBN1_DGR. RNAcentral's name for it is "bacterial SSU rRNA". It matches the Rfam family "Archaeal small subunit ribosomal RNA", at positions 44 to 546 of the family's 1478-position model. Lineage: Archaea; Methanobacteriati; Methanobacteriota; Halobacteria; Halobacteriales. The record is from RNAcentral.